Marmota monax (woodchuck) is the source of this 993-nucleotide long non-coding RNA. RefSeq lists it as uncharacterized. The transcript has 2 exons. The record is from RefSeq and is a predicted model, not a curated record. NCBI's taxonomy places the organism in Eukaryota, Metazoa, Chordata, Mammalia, Rodentia, Sciuridae.
UUCCUGAUGCUGGGGUAAGGUUUUAAUAGAAGCGUCGAGCACACAGCAGGCAGAACUAGUGACUGCACGGUUUCUGCCCUGGUGCCCCUACCUGCAGCAAGGGGAGCAAGGAGCGGGAGCCCCUGAGAUGGCCCUCAAUCUUCAGAGGGGGCUUUACUCCCUCCAGGGUGGAAAACAGGCUGCAUCCUGAGACUGUCUUGAGCACAUGUCCUUGGGGGGACAGUGAAAGUGAGGCGGGAGAAAGGCAGACCGGAUAGCUCCGUCCUCACUUGCAGAGACCCCUGGCCAGAGCUGAGGAGGGAGAGACAUGGAGACCAUGGGCAGCUGAACUUUCCUCCUGGUGAAAACAAAGCAAAAUGAAAGUGAAGUCUGGUGAAGCUAAAAGGAAACAUGAAACGCGGAUUGGAGAGCUUUGGCAGCAGGGAGGAGCGCACAUCCAGAAUGGCGUGUGACUGGAUCUCCAGGGACCCCCAUCUAGAUGGGAGGACCUCUGGCACUCCAGGUCAGGCUGCGUGGGAGGCUCCUGCCCUGGGAUCUCCUCCCCCGGGUACACCCCUGUGGAAGAGGCUAGUCCCAGGCAGGACUGGCGGGAGGAGAAGAGCAGGGGUCCCCUCCUGGGAUCUCACCCUCCCUACACGGGCAAGAAAGGAGACUGACAGGAGAAGAUGCCACAGCAGCUCAGUGAGGAAAGCAUUUGGGGACACGAUUGGAAAACGAAGCCUUGGAAUAGCUAUUUCUUGGAAAGUCUUUGGAAGAAAUGUAACGACGAUUUAUCAAUUCCAGGGACAGUUGACUUUGGUUCACCACCUGCUCUUUCUCCACUGGGAAGAAACUCAGUGUUUUCUGGAAAAAAAGAAUGGAAUUGAUGCUGACAUGGUUUGAGAAAUGGAGAAGGUACUAAACAAGGCUUGUUUCUCUCAUUUCUAUGUCCCUUUUAAAAGGAUGUGUGCUAUUCAAUUAGUAAAUUCAAUUAAAAUUGAUUGAGAGCCCCCA